RNAcentral lists this long non-coding RNA (218 nucleotides) under Solanum tuberosum (potato). RNAcentral describes it as "long non-coding RNA (STUB_LNC004712)". Lineage: Eukaryota; Viridiplantae; Streptophyta; Magnoliopsida; Solanales; Solanaceae. The record is from RNAcentral.
CUAAAAAUCUACUCCAUGGAAUAUAAACGUUUACUAAGAACAAAGAUGAAAAAGAAGACAUAGCAAUCAAACUUUGAAUCCCAACUUCCGUUUUGGAUUUGAGUUGUGUACCACGUGUUCCCCUUUCUCUUCUUCGUAACCUAGCGUCUUUUUUGGUCCCCUUUUCCGAUUAAAACAUCCCCCUGGGGAAAGCUCCAACAUCAUCCACAAAAUUCUAA